GGAAGGUGUACUUGGACAAA
Molecule: ribosomal RNA, 20 nt
Filed under: Marosatherina ladigesi
Lineage: Eukaryota; Metazoa; Chordata; Actinopteri; Atheriniformes; Telmatherinidae
Description: partial 12S ribosomal RNA
Source: RNAcentral